RNAcentral lists this ribosomal RNA (422 nucleotides) under uncultured bacterium. Its description in RNAcentral is "bacterial SSU rRNA". It matches the Rfam family "Bacterial small subunit ribosomal RNA", at positions 355 to 774 of the family's 1533-position model. The record is from RNAcentral.
UGAGGAAUAUUGGACAAUGGAUGGAAAUCUGAUCCAGCCAUGCCGCGUGCAGGAAGACGGCCCUAUGGGUUGUAAACUGCUUUUGUAUGGGAGCAAUAAGGACUACGUGUAGUUUGAUGAGAGUACCAUACGAAUAAGCAUCGGCUAACUCCGUGCCAGCAGCCGCGGUAAUACGGAGGAUGCGAGCGUUAUCCGGAUUUAUUGGGUUUAAAGGGUGCGUAGGCGGCGAUAUAAGUCAGUGGUGAAAUAUUUCGGCUUAACCGAGAGACUGCCAUUGAUACUGUGUUGCUAGAAUAUGGUUGCUGUGAGUGGAAUGUGUGGUGUAGCGGUGAAAUGCUUAGAUAUCACGCAGAAUAUCGAUUGCGAAGGCAGCUCACAAAGCCAUUAUUGACGCUGAGGCACGAAAGUGUGGGGAUCAAACA